CCUACGGGAGGCAGCAGUGGGGAAUUUUGGACAAUGGGCGCGAGCCUGAUCCAGCCAUGCCGCGUGCGGGAAGAAGGCCUUCGGGUUGUAAACCGCUUUUGUCAGGGAAGAAAAGGUUCUGGCUAAUACCUGGGACUCAUGACGGUACCUGAAGAAUAAGCACCGGCUAACUACGUGCCAGCAGCCGCGGUAAUACGUAGGGUGCAAGCGUUAAUCGGAAUUACUGGGCGUAAAGCGUGCGCAGGCGGUUAUGCAAGACAGAGGUGAAAUCCCCGGGCUCAACCUGGGAACUGCCUUUGUGACUGCAUAGCUAGAGUGCGGCAGAGGGGGAUGGAAUUCCGCGUGUAGCAGUGAAAUGCGUAGAUAUGCGGAGGAACACCGAUGGCGAAGGCAAUCCCCUGGGCCUGCACUGACGCUCAUGCACGAAAGCGUGGGGAGCAAACAGGAUUAGAUACCCUGGUAGUCCACGCCCUAAACGAUGUCAACUGGUUGUUGGGAGGGUUUCUUCUCAGUAACGUAGCUAACGCGUGAAGUUGACCGCCUGGGGAGUACGGCCGCAAGGUUGAAACUUAAAGGAAUUGACGGCUGAGACCGNGCGAGACGACACGAGGGAGGAGG
RNAcentral lists this ribosomal RNA (618 nucleotides) under uncultured bacterium. RNAcentral's name for it is "bacterial SSU rRNA". It matches the Rfam family "Bacterial small subunit ribosomal RNA", at positions 338 to 951 of the family's 1533-position model. The record is from RNAcentral.